GUUAAUUGAAUAUCCGAGCAUUUUUUUUACUAAGGAAGUAAUCACAGUCACAAAAAAUUACCCUAAACAUUCUCUCGAGCGAAUGUCACUUUCUUCAUGCUCUGUUUCGAUUUUCCCCUAUUUUACCAGGUGAGCUACUAUACAUAGCAAAGGUGUUCAAUUAAGUUUUUUUUUCCUAAUCAGUAGUAUCAGAGUAGCUACCAUGUUCAUCGUUCCAGUGACGGAGGCAGGGCAGGGAAGUACUGGGAGGUCAUAUUCCUGUACCCUUAACUUACCUCAACCAAGUGAACGCACGAGAAAAAGGGCAGUCUCAUUGCCAAAGGGCAAGUGCUCCUCUGUCAGGCUGGCGAAUCAUCGAAGGCUCAAGGCUGCAAGACAAGAUGUUUACACAGGUUACAGGUUGUUACAUCCCGCAACGUCUGGGACACAUAUUUAACGUCGUUGACUUUUUUAUAUAAGUUUAACUAUUCAUUUUAUUCAAAAAGUUUACAUAAUUAUUAAUAAUUUUUAUAUCAUUUUAUUUGUUGUUAAAUAUAUCAUGACGUUGCUAGCUUUGCCACCGGCAAACCCUUCGUGAGACCAUUUGCUCUCUGUUCAUCAGUGGGAAUGAAGUUAAUAAUGUCGAUUUGCCGAGCUUUCACGCAAACAAAAUGAUAGCGUGUGUCAAACUGUCAAUUUGCUUGCUUCUCCCAUGGAACGCUAGGUUCUUCAUUAAUGCAAUAGAUGAUUUAGUGUCGAUAAACAAUUGUACUACCUUUUCUCCAGUACCAAUUACCUCGCUGACAAGCGCCUUCAGCCAAAGUGCGUGACAUGCUGCUGUAGUAGCCGCCAUGAACUGAUCAGCUUCGCACCAUGAUGAUAAUAAUACCACCAUUUUCUGUGAGCCCUAUGUGACUAAACUAUUGUUGAGGCAGAGCACCAUCCCG
Molecule: long non-coding RNA, 926 nt
Filed under: Oryza brachyantha (malo sina)
Lineage: Eukaryota; Viridiplantae; Streptophyta; Magnoliopsida; Poales; Poaceae
Description: long non-coding RNA (OBRA_LNC001748)
Source: RNAcentral